UGAGGUAUAGCUCAGUGGUAGAGUGCAUGCUUAGCAUGCACGAGGUCCUGGGUUCCAUCCCCAGUACCUCCA
RNAcentral lists this transfer RNA (72 nucleotides) under Camelus bactrianus (Bactrian camel). It matches the Rfam family "tRNA". Rfam says of the family: Transfer RNA (tRNA) molecules are approximately 80 nucleotides in length. Their secondary structure includes four short double-helical elements and three loops (D, anti-codon, and T loops). The record is from Rfam by way of RNAcentral. Lineage: Eukaryota; Metazoa; Chordata; Mammalia; Artiodactyla; Camelidae. RNAcentral also lists the same sequence under 2 other names.